AAGCAAGAUGACCCUGCCGAAUUUAAUCAUAUAAUUAAGCGGACGAA
RNAcentral lists this ribosomal RNA (47 nucleotides) under Pseudo-nitzschia delicatissima. RNAcentral's name for it is "partial large subunit ribosomal RNA". Lineage: Eukaryota; Bacillariophyta; Bacillariophyceae; Bacillariales; Bacillariaceae. The record is from RNAcentral.